Molecule: long non-coding RNA, 1521 nt
Filed under: Numida meleagris (helmeted guineafowl)
Lineage: Eukaryota; Metazoa; Chordata; Aves; Galliformes; Numididae
Description: lncRNA (ENSNMEG00000002923.1)
Source: RNAcentral
UUUGGGUGGGAUUCCGCCCGUUUGGGUUCAGCCAAACUCUGCUUUUUUUGUAGGGCCGCGCCUCCAAAGCCCCCGAGGGCGGCCCCCGCAGCCGCCGUGGGGCGAGACCCCCCCUGAAAGCGGGCGAGGAAGAGGAGGAGGAGGAAGAGGAGGAGGAGGAAGAGGAAGAAGACGACGACGACGAGGAAGAGGAAGAGGGCAAGCCGGGCCCCGCCCCCUGUCAAGCCCCGCCCCCUUCCCCUCCCGCCCCGCCCCCUUCGCUUGACCAGCCCCUCCCAUUGGACAAAGCCCCGCCCGUCACCCCCGAAGCCCCGCCCUCGCAGGGCCAAGCCCCGCCCACGGAGGGCGAAGCCCCGCCCCCUGUUGCCGAAGCCACGCCCACACAGCCCCAAACCCCGCCCCCAGAGAGCGUGGCCACGCCCACUGAAAUACAGACCACGCCCCCUGCGGUCGAAGCCCCGCCCCCCGUGAUGGAAGCCCCGCCUCCACCGACCGAAGCCACGCCCACCAGCAGCAUGGCCACGCCCCCUCGUGAGGAAACCCCGCCCCCUUCCUCCCCCUCCCCCCUGCCGUUGGUGCAGGGGGCGGAGCCUGUGGCCCCGCCCACCGCAGAGGAGCCAAUCCCGCUUCCCCUGAGCAAAGAGCCCGCCCCCGAGGGCGGAGCUAUUGCGGAUACCCCGCCCACAGACGAGGCCCCGCCCCCCUCCUCGCCCCGAGGGCGCAGCCAAUCGUCUUCCUCCUCCUCGCCUGGCCCCGCCUCCUCCCGCGGAAGCUCCGCCUCCCCGCCGCCACGGGGGCGUGGCCAAAACGCUGAGGACGAGCAGCCGGAGCCGACCCCAGCAGCGACCCCCAAGUGAGUGCGCGGUGCUAUGGGGCGGUUGUGGGGCACUGUGGGGUGACGGUGGGGCUGCGUCAGGCAGUUAUGGGGCGCUGCGGGGGGGUUACGGGGUACUGGGGGGGCUCUGGGGCAGUUGUGGGGUGCUGUGGGGCAGUAAUGGCGCUCUGGGGGUUGUUACUGGGAGUUAUGGGGCAGUUGCAGGGCUUUGUGGGGUGGUUAUGGGGCACUACGGGGAGGUUAUUAGAAUUUAUGGGGCAGUUUUGGGGUGCUAUGGGGCAGUAAUGGCGCUCUGUGGGGCACUGUAGGGGGUUAUGGGGCAACGUGGGGCUCUGUGGGGCAGUUAUGGGGCUCUGUGGGGCAGUUAUUAGCAUCUGGGGGCAGGUAUGGGGCACUGUGGGGCAACACGCUUCUCAUUAUGGGGUCUCUAUGAUCCUCUCUAUGGUCUUUUGGUCCUCCCUGUGGGUCCUCCUGUCUCUAGGGGGUCCUUCCUAUGUGAUCUCUAUGGGCCCUCCAUGGGUCCUCUCUAUGAUCCUCUCUAUGGUCUUUUGGUCCUCCCUGUGGGUCCUCCUGUGUCUAGGGGGUCCUCCCUAUGUGAUCUCUAUGGGCCCUCCAUGGGUCCUCUCUAUGAUCCUCUCUAUGGUCUUUUGGUCCUCCUUAUGUGAUCUCUAUGGGCCCUCCAUGGG